AGCUGGUGCAAGUACAGUGGUGUCAUAACAGUUACAGAUUUCUUCCCUCUUUCUCCACUCCCACUGCUUCACUUGACUAGCCUGAA
Y RNA from Callithrix jacchus (white-tufted-ear marmoset), 86 nucleotides. It matches the Rfam family "Y RNA". From Rfam's summary of the family: Y RNAs are components of the Ro ribonucleoprotein particle (Ro RNP), in association with Ro60 and La proteins. The Y RNAs and Ro60 and La proteins are well conserved, but the function of the Ro RNP is not known. In humans the RNA component can be one of four small RNAs -- hY1, hY3, hY4 and hY5. Lineage: Eukaryota; Metazoa; Chordata; Mammalia; Primates; Cebidae. The record is from Ensembl.